RNAcentral lists this long non-coding RNA (296 nucleotides) under Olea europaea (common olive). RNAcentral's name for it is "long non-coding RNA (OEUR_LNC005588)". The record is from RNAcentral. Lineage: Eukaryota; Viridiplantae; Streptophyta; Magnoliopsida; Lamiales; Oleaceae.
UAACAAGGAGCAAGCUCAAGGAUUGUUUGUAAGGGGUAGAAGCAAUGUGCGACCAAAGGGCAAGGGAGAAAAAUCUAGAUCGAGUUCUAGACCUCUUGCGGAAAGGUCUUGUUUCAAAUGUGGCGAGCUUGGGCAUUUCAAGGCGAAUUGUCCAAACAAAAAGGGUUGGAAGAAGAACAAUAAGAACAACAACAGUGGGAAGGUGCAAGUCAAGCAAGAGGUAAGCUAUGCCUCGGAAGGAGGGGAAAGCGAUGAGUGCUACACCAUCUCUUGUGAUGAAGAGACCUCCGGUAAGU